RNAcentral lists this ribosomal RNA (253 nucleotides) under uncultured bacterium. RNAcentral's name for it is "partial 16S ribosomal RNA". It matches the Rfam family "Bacterial small subunit ribosomal RNA", at positions 524 to 776 of the family's 1533-position model. The record is from RNAcentral.
GACAGAGGGUGCGAACGUUGUUCGGAAUUACUGGGCGUAAAGCGCAUGUAGGCGGCAGCGCAAGUCGGGCGUGAAAUCCCACGGCUCAACCGUGGAAGUGCACUCGAAACUGCGCAGCUAGAGUCCUGGAGAGGAAGGUGGAAUGCUUGGUGUAGAGGUGAAAUUCGUAGAUAUCAAGCGGAACACCAAAGGCGAAGGCACCAUCCUGGGGAGUCACUGACGCUCGGGUGCGAAAGCCAGGGGAGCGAACGGG